ACACUGUUGGUGUAGUGGUAACAUAGAAGCUUCCCAGACACCGUUUGGUUGCCGAUGGGCAAGUCGAUUGCUUCUGCCAAGGGUUCGAUUCCCUUACAGUGUA
RNAcentral lists this transfer RNA (103 nucleotides) under Saitozyma sp. JCM 24511. It matches the Rfam family "tRNA". From Rfam's summary of the family: Transfer RNA (tRNA) molecules are approximately 80 nucleotides in length. The record is from Rfam by way of RNAcentral. Lineage: Eukaryota; Fungi; Basidiomycota; Tremellomycetes; Tremellales; Trimorphomycetaceae.